CUAGGCAGUUAUAGCGGAUGUGAUCCACGCGAUUCCAUUCCGAACUCGACUGUGAAACCAUUCAGCGCCGAUGAUACUUCCGCUUAAGCGAGAGGGAAAGUAGGUCACUGCCUGGC
Molecule: ribosomal RNA, 116 nt
Filed under: Holosporales bacterium
Lineage: Bacteria; Pseudomonadati; Pseudomonadota; Alphaproteobacteria; Holosporales
Source: RNAcentral